This is a long non-coding RNA of Pseudopipra pipra, 4572 nucleotides long. RefSeq lists it as uncharacterized. The transcript is spliced from 2 exons. The record is from RefSeq and is a predicted model, not a curated record. Lineage: Eukaryota; Metazoa; Chordata; Aves; Passeriformes; Pipridae.
CUUCAGGCCAGACUGGAUGAUGCUUCUGGCCAGCAGAGCUUGGAUAAGAGUGGUUACUGCAGCCAUGGCCUGGAGGAGGUGGGAGGAAAGGCGGCUCAUCGGAUCUGGAUGGCAGAGAGGCACCUAGCACAUCCCCAAAGCCUCUCUGGGUGUCUGCCAUCACUGGGAGCCCUGAGCCCCCCUGCCACCAGACCCAAGGACAGUAUUGUGUCCUGCCCUGAGGGGCUUGUCUCUCUCUCUGUGGGUCAGAAACCUUCCCGGCAUCUGACCUUUCCUCCCUCUGUCCAGCCCAGCCUUCCCUCUGCACGUGCACUAGUCACCUGAGUCCAACUCUGGUGGGUCUGGGGCUGCCUGCUGAUGCUCUUGGUGACAGCUCCCAUUGUGACACAUCCUCCAUGAUGUUACAGCCACCAGAGCUGCAUCACUCAGCCAGUGUCCCAGGCUUUGUCGCCACCACCCAGCUCAGCGAGUCCUGGCCAUUACAACAAGUGCAAACCCCACCUGCAGAAGUGAGCUCCCAGGGACUUGCUUGACAAAGAGACUCUCCCUUCAAAGCCAUAACUUAAAUGAAAAUGGGAACUGCAGGUGGAUGUCUCUGACCUAGGUAGAGAGGUGCAAUGUCUUCUGGGCCAGGUGGUCUGACUCCAAGUAACCUUGCAAAGCCUUACCUUACAAGCCCUUGGGCAGAGACAACUCUCCUCCCUCUCAUCCUCUUGGCUUCCUUCUGCUGGGGCCGGGCUUGGCCCUGCAAACCCUGGCAAUCAAGCCAAAUGCCACUUAUGUCCCUGGUGCAAGUGGAGAAGAUCCUGUGGCUCCUAUCUCUAGCUAACUUGCCUGCAAGGGCAAGCAAGUGGGCUGGAGGGGCUAUGCUGGGACUUGCAUUUCUCCGCUCCCCUGAGGUUUCCCCAGUUCAGGAGAGCCACCUGUACACCCUGCUGUGGAUCGUGCCUCUCAGAAAUGUGGUCUGUACUGCAUGAGUGCACACCCUGAGACACAGACAGCUCAAAAGCUUUCUCUAGCCUUGCUGCCUGUGCACCAAGACUAACGCGGGAGCCACAUUUCUGUCAGUUCCGCAUGUAGAGAACCGUAUGCCCAAUGCACCUCCUGUCCAAAGCCUUCUGGAGGUAAAAAGAGGGAGGGCUUGGUAAGUUCAAGCAUGCCCUGAAGUCCCUUUCUGUGUCGAGUCUCUCUUGUCAAGGUGGUGGAAACUUGAAGUCCCAAGUGGAGGGAAUAUGGAAUAAGAAUCAUUGUGGUUGGCAGAGACCUCUAAGAUCAUCCAUUAAUCCAGCACUGCCAAACCCACCACAAAACCAUGUCCCUGCGCAACAUAUCUAAACAUCUUUUAAAUCCCUGAAGGGAUGGUGACUCCACCGCUGCACUGGGCAGCUUGUUUGGAUUCUUGACAACCCUUUCAAGAAAGAAAUUUUUCCUAAUAUCCAACUUAAACUUCUCCUGGCACAACUUGAGGCUAUGUCCUCUUGUCCUAUUGUUUGUUACCUGGGAGAAGAGACUAACCCCUGGCUACAACCUCUUGGCUGGACUUACUAGCAAGGCUUUAAAGAAAAAGGGAUGUACUUCUGACUGUCAGAGAGGAAACAUCAAGCCUUUAGAAAGCAGACUGUAAGUAAAUAGUCUCAAAGCAAUUAGGGAGGGCUCUUCCCAAAAGGUAAGGAGGCCAGUAGGCUGAAGUGCCUCUACACCAAUGCACACCGCAUGGGAAACAAGCAAGAGGAGCUGGAAAUGAUGGUGCAAUUGGAAAACUAGGAACUAAUUGCUUUUACAGAAAGAUGGUGGGAUGAGUUGCACAACUGGAACACUGAAGUUGAGGGCUAUGAACUUUCCAGAGGGGCUGUGCUGCUGGGUGCUGCUGGUGUUAGUGGACCCAGACCCACUGCACGCUGGCCACUCCCCUCACCACAUGGCUUUCCAGGUGUCCCUUGUUCCCCACAGCUGGAGCCAGCUCACCUCGGAGCAGCAGGUUCCUAGAGAUGUACAUCUGUGUCCCUGGCUGCUGCAUCCCAUCAUCUCCACAGGGGUGCCUGCCUGCAGACCAGCCUGUAAGGCACACCAGUGCAGAGAGCAACAGGGUUUGGCCUUUUUCCUUCACUUGGCUUGCUAAUUUAAGGGUGAUUGGUUUUUUCUACCCCUUCCUGCAGAACUGAUGCUCAUGAGAAUUCAGUAAAAGCGGUGAAGCCACAUGGAGGGCCUUGCAGUGGUGCCUGGCUCCCCUCCUGUCAGCAGAGGAGCCUUGUCCCAGGUUCCUGCUCACACUGGGCACAUGAACUGGUGGGCAGUUUGGAUUUUCAGCUUAUUUCUGGAUUUUACCACUAGUAGUUAAUUUAAGAGAAAUUUAAAAAAAAUCAAUGCAGCCAAGGCUAAAGUUCAAGAGAGGGAUGCCUGCAGCUGCCAGUGCUCUCAGGUACAGCAGCAGGAGGGGACAUCUUCACUGCUCACAGGGGAAGGCUAAAAAAAAAAUAAAUCUAAUUACUUUUCUGUCCCUCAACCACCCAGUUAACUCCCCUUGCCUUCCGCUUGUUCCUUGCAGUCUAAUUAAAUUUCCUCGGAUGGCCAUGUUUCAGGACAGAAGGCUGAUGUGGGGGGUGUGCAGAUCUCCCAGGCCUUGGCUAGCUGCGGGGAAGGAGCAUGCAUUUGUGCACCCCCAUGCUCCCAGCUUCCAGACUCUGUUCCUGGCUGCUUUGUACAGUGGGACAGAGACAUAACCAAGGGCACAUUGCAAUCUCCACCGCAGGUUAGGAGAUAAGCAGCCCUCUCUUAAUGAGGACAUGAUAUACCUGGCAAGACUUUACCCCUUGUGGGGAACAACAGGCUCUUUCACUCUGGGCCCUGGCACAUCCAGGAGCGGUCGUGGGACACAGGGAACAGCAGCUGAUAAAUCAGCUCAGCACUACCAGCCAUAGGAAGCCCAAGCUGAUGGGGCAGCCCCACAUCAGCUGUUAUUAGGAAGCCCUGGAAUGUCCCACGUUGGAUUGCAACAACAGUUGCAGCAAGACCACAAUUCUGGAGAGCUACGGCUUUGCUAAAAUUGGCUUUUCCAGAAGGCAAAUGGGGAUGGCAGCUCUCCAGCACCAGAGGGAAAGCUGCAUUUCUGCCUCCAGUAUCUGCCGAGGGAGGCCCAUCCCGGAGGGAAAGGGCAGCAUUACCAUACUGAGAGACCUCUAUCUGCUGCUUGUGAGGUAAAAUCCCCGCUGAAAGGAGCCAAAUUGUUACUGUGCAUAUCUAAAGGCACUGAAUUAUUAAGGAGAAGUGAUCUCUUAAGGCUGCAGGUGGAGCAGAGAGCUUUACAGACGGCUGAUAUUAAGUGUAAUGGACCUCUAAUGGAAAACCACCUUAUUGCUGCAGGAUGGUUUCUCAGCUGCGGAGCAAAACAAAGCAGCUGGAGUGAAUGUGGUACAGACCAUUAUUGCCCUGGGAAUUACUGGGUUUGAUAGUCCUUUACAGCUUUUUGGAGUAUUGCAGUAAGCAUGUGGUGGAGAGAUACUCCCUUCUACCCCAUUCUCUGAGAAUAUCCACAAUCCAGCAUUUACUUUUUCUGGAUGAGCCCAAAACAGCCUUUCUGGGCUUCCACGUGAUUAAGGUCAUAUAAGAGCUAGCUGUUGUUUCCAAGCCUCCCGAAUUUGCCAAAAUUAGGCUGGAUUUGUGGAAACUGGCUUCCUAAGACCUCGGGCACUUCCGGCUUUGAAUACCAGGCCAAAACCAACACAGCAGUGCUUGCUCUCCCAAAUUUUAAUAUGACUGCUUUAGUCCCAAAUGGAGCCACAAAUUACAAAGUUUGUUUAUCUGAGUGUUAGAGAGGAACCAGGAAACACCAACACUUUACGAAGCAGCAGGGAAAUAUUGUAAACCGUCCCAAAAGAAUUAGAGAGGGCUCCUCCCAUAAGGUGAGGAGGUUGAUAGCCCAGCGGAAGUGUCUCUACACCAGUGCACGCAGCAUGGUAAACAAGCAAGAGGAGCUGGAGACCUUGGAAAAGUAUGAGCAAUUGCUGUCACAGAAACAUGGUGGGACGAUUCGCACAACUGCGACACUGCAAUUGAGGGCUAAGAGCUUUCCAGAAGAGAUGGGAAGGAGGGAGGGUUGUUGUGCUCUAGGUUAAGGAAUGGAUGGAUUGUGGAAAGCUGCCUCUGAGAAACAGCCGUGAACAGGUUGGGAGCUUGUGGGUGAAAAUCGAGGACUGGACCAACAAAGGAUACCUUGUGGUCGGGGUCUGCUCCAGGUGCCUGACUGGGGGAGCCUGCUGAUGAGGCCUCUUGCUUCAUCUACAGAAGCAUCACACUCACAUGCUUUCAUCCAGAUGGAGAAUUUCAACCAUCCAGACAUCUAGUGGAAAAGCAAUACAGAUGGCUGAGAGCAAUCCAGGAGAUUCCUGGAGUGCAUAGAGGACAAUUCCCUGGUCCAGGUAGUGGACAAACCACCCAGAGGAGAAGUAUUGCUGGACCUGGUGCUCACAUAUGCAGGCUUUGAGAAGUACUAUCUAAUAUGAAAACCCUAGAAGUGAUUUACAAAAAACUAUGAUGGUUUAUACAAGUUUGAUGUACUAAACAGGUCAAAUUGAA